Molecule: ribosomal RNA, 171 nt
Filed under: uncultured bacterium
Lineage: Bacteria
Description: partial 16S ribosomal RNA
Rfam family: Bacterial small subunit ribosomal RNA (bases 1-77)
Source: RNAcentral
CACGCCGUAAACGAUGAAUGCUAGCCGUUGGCGAGCUUGCUCGUCAGUGGCGCAGCUAACGCUUUAAGCAUUCCGCCUGGGGAGUNGCGCAGAACCUUACCAGCCCUUGACAUCCCGGUCGCGGAGAGCAGAGACGCACUCCUUCAGUUCGGCUGGACCGGAGACAGGUGC